Small nuclear RNA from Gorilla gorilla gorilla (western lowland gorilla), 107 nucleotides. The record is from Ensembl. NCBI's taxonomy places the organism in Eukaryota, Metazoa, Chordata, Mammalia, Primates, Hominidae.
GUGCUUGCUUUGGCAGCACAGAUACUAAAAUUGGAAUGAUACAGAGAAGAUUAGCAUGGCUUCUGUGCAAAGAUGACAUGCAAAUUCGUGAAGGAUUUCAUUAAUAA